Non-coding RNA from Rhypophila decipiens, 102 nucleotides. NCBI's taxonomy places the organism in Eukaryota, Fungi, Ascomycota, Sordariomycetes, Sordariales, Naviculisporaceae. The record is from the annotation of a GenBank genome assembly.
GGCCUGAUGGUCUAGAGGUAUGAUUCUCGCUUUGGGUUCUGAAUUACGGUUCAUGAUAUCUUCAUUUGCGAGAGGUCCCGUGUUCAAUCCACGGUCAGGCCC